AGUGAACGCUGGCGGUAGGCCUAACACAUGCAAGUCGAACGGCAGCACAGUAAGAGCUUGCUCUUACGGGUGGCGAGUGGCGGACGGGUGAGGAAUACAUCGGAAUCUACUUUUUCGUGGGGGAUAACGUAGGGAAACUUACGCUAAUACCGCAUACGACCUACGGGUGAAAGCAGUGGAUCUUCGGACCUUGCGCGAUUGAAUGAGCCGAUGUCGGAUUAGCUAGUUGGCGGGGUAAAGGCCCACCAAGGCGACGAUCCGUAGCUGGUCUGAGAGGAUGAUCAGCAACACUGGAACUGAGACACGGUCCAGAGUCCUACGGGAGGCAGCAGUGGGGAAUAUUGGACAAUGGGCGCAAGCCUGAUCCAGCAAUACCGCGUGGGUGAAGAAGGCCUUCGGGUUGUAAAGCCCUUUUGUUGGGAAAGAAAAGCAGCAGGUUAAUACCCCGCUGUUCUGACGGUACCCAAAGAAUAAGCACCGGCUAACUUCGUG
RNAcentral lists this ribosomal RNA (492 nucleotides) under uncultured bacterium. RNAcentral's name for it is "partial 16S ribosomal RNA". It matches the Rfam family "Bacterial small subunit ribosomal RNA", at positions 29 to 507 of the family's 1533-position model. The record is from RNAcentral.